UCAAACAUAAACAGAGAUAAUCAUGGAGCUUUUUCCCCAAGAUUAGUAACUGGGUUUUGCUUGCUUUGUGGCAAUUCAAACGGGUUUUGUGGGGCUUUCCUCCAUUUUCUUUGAUUUUGACCCUUAUUUUCUUCCUCGCCAAACACCUUUCUCUCUCCCUCUUUCUCUUCCGUACAUAUAGAUAUUUAUAUACACCCCCACUACUCCUCUCUUCAUCAUCCCUCCCACCUGAUUUCCUGGUUUUACACUAAUCCCCAUAAUUCGUCUUCUAAUCUUUCAAAACAUUCAUUUUCUUGGAGAAUCUUAAUCAGGGUUCCUCAAACCAUGCCUCGUAUACCCUCAGAAGACAUGUGUGUAUGUAGAUUCAAAUAUGCAUACAUGAUUACAUGCAUAUCUCAUGCUAUAUAUUCAUUACAUGAAUUCAUGAUACAUGUAUAGAUAUAUAUAUAUAUAUAUAUAUAUAUACACAUAUAUGUGUAGGCAUGAGGUACGCAUGUGAGUGUUGUGCCUGGCUCCCUGUAUGCCAUUUGCAGAGCCCACCGAGCAUCGCUGGCCUCCGUGGAUGGCGUAUGAGGAGCCAUGCAUACUCCCACAUAUAUUAUCCAUGCCUCUUUUUUUUUUGUCUUCUGCAGAUUUUUCCUCUUCCCUGUAAGGGUAGUUUCGUUAUUAUAGGAGGGAACUGAGGGCAGCAAUGUAAUUUCGGGAGGGUGUUUGGGAUUGCAAUUUUGCAGAUGAAAUUUCCUGAUCUUCUCUGAACAAAGGUACUUCUUCUACUUCACAUAUAUCUCUUAUUCUAUUUCCUUCCUGCAUGCUCAUAUUUUGGGUACUUGGGUGAUGUUUCUGCAGAUAAACCAUAUGUAUACAUGUAUACAUAGACCAUAUAUACAUAUAUAUAUAUGUAUAAACUUUUCUUGAGUGGUAAACUAAAAAAUGCGUGGAAGAAUAUUACCGAUGGUUUCUCGAAUAUUCCAAGAGUUUCAGAUCCUCCACAUAUAUAUAUACACAUAUAGGUACUUGGGCAAUUUUCCAGCUAUGGAAAACAAAUAUGUAUAUAUGUAUAUAUAUAUCCACAAACCUAAAUCACAGGGAUUCAUUACAACUGUAAACCUGUCCAACCGAAACAUGUAUGUAAACGAGACUAAAUCUUCAUAGGUAAUAAUAUUAUAAGCUGUUAUUUUGCACAAAUCACAUAACCGAGUAAUUCUUAUAAUGAAUUAUAUCAUCAAAUAACAUUUGCUUCAUCACUUAUUAAUUAGUUGUAAUAUAUAUACACAUGUAUGUUUAUAGCUAGAUCCAGUUUAUAUGUAGACGUGUGUGUAUAUAUAUGUAGUGCUGGAAUAUGAUUAUAGCCAUUUGAUAUAUGGACGUAUUAUGAUUAUUAUACCAGCUGUCUGUGUUUGUUAAUGAUAAUUAGCUUAUUUAGUUCACUUAAAACCAAGUUGCUCAGUUAUGUAUAUAUAUAUAUAUAUAUACACACACAAGAACAUAUUUAUAUAUAUGGGAUUUUAUGAAAUGAGAUCCCAUUUGAUCUCAUAAGCUAGCUGCUGGGCUGGGGUUUAAGAGAAAACCUACAUGAUCAAACACAAAAGCCAACAUAAAAUAAUGAACUAGUAUAUUAUAUAUAUAUAUAUAUGGAGUACAUUACAUAUAUAUAUUUUUAUUAAACUAACUAGUAAUUAAGGUUAGUUUCUUGAUUAACAAAACAGACGUUUUUCCUGACCCAUAAUAGACAUGAUUGUUAAUGCACCUUGUUGUCAAUAGCUACUGGAACUACUAGUACUAAUCAUGAGUAUUUUCCACAGUACAUAUACGCAUAUACAUAUAUAAUAUAGCAAUUGUAUCAAUAUCGUGUUCUAUUAUAUUUUAGUUAGAAAGAGUUUAUGCAUAUAGGUUUUAAAAAUUAAAAAAUGGUAAUAAAAAGAGACAUAUGUGUAUACAUCACAAUGUAUCUAUCAAGCUAAGUUGGUCAAGCAAGAUAUGGAGGUACAAAACCUAUCCAUCUUUACGUAAUAUCUUUCUUUCUCAUUUUCUUUCUCUUUCUCUGUCACCAAACAAGGGAAAGUGUGUGAAAGAAAUUAUCAAAGUUAUGGAAAAGAAAAGUAAAAGUGAUGAUGAUGAUGGUGAUUAUAGGUAGCUAUAUACUAUAUACUGUACUGUGUGUUUGGGAGUGGGGGAAUCUAAAUGGACCACCUUCAAACUCUGAUUCAACAAUAGGUUAUUAUAAUAAAUAUAUAUAUAUAUAUAGAUAUACGGUCAAAGCAGGUCAAAUAUAAAGAAAAAGAAAAGGACAUUGCUCAGUCCAAAACACUUUGGACCACCUUCAAGAUCUCCUGAAAUCAAUUGGAUCUCUUCCUUUUUCUUUUUAAUUAAUACAUAUACAUACACAUACAUAUAUAUAAUUGAUUUAUGAUAUACAGAGAACUUGUGGUUGAUCUACCCAUUCAAUGUAAUUAAUAAAACAUGACCAAUAUAUAUGUAGAUAUACAUAUAACUCAUGAGUAAACUUACUUAGAUUUUUGUCCAAGUUAUACAAUAAUAAUCAGUAAAAUAAAUGGAAAAUAUACAUAACCCAUAAGAUGUUUUCAUGUUAGGUUGAUAAGAAAUUAAUGUUUAUUAUAUCAUAUCACGCACUAUAUUACAGUUGAUGUGUGCGUGUGUGUGUGUGUGUGUAUGUAUAUAUCGAUAAUUUAAAAGAAGUAAUUAUUUUUUCACAUGAGCUGCAUGCUUGCGGCCUCACAUACAGAACAUUCUCCCUGGAUGGAUCUGCAGAGAUGAAAAAAAGAAGGGAG
RNAcentral lists this long non-coding RNA (2789 nucleotides) under Carica papaya (papaya). RNAcentral's name for it is "long non-coding RNA (CPAP_LNC008645)". The stretch from base 503 to 587 matches the Rfam family "mir-160 microRNA precursor family". Lineage: Eukaryota; Viridiplantae; Streptophyta; Magnoliopsida; Brassicales; Caricaceae. The record is from RNAcentral.